This is a long non-coding RNA of Solea senegalensis (Senegalese sole), 1077 nucleotides long. RefSeq lists it as uncharacterized. The record is from RefSeq and is a predicted model, not a curated record. The transcript is spliced from 6 exons. Lineage: Eukaryota; Metazoa; Chordata; Actinopteri; Pleuronectiformes; Soleidae.
ACCGGAGAACCUGUGGACGCCCCUGCUUUGAAAACACCAUCAUUAUUGAACCUGAAGACUUACAGCUAAUAUAAAUCAAAAUAACACCAUGUUUCCUGCUUUGUACCAGCCUCCUCCUCAACAGUUAAUCCUGGAGCUGACACACUGGGAUGUAAACGUACUGUAAUUUAGCAGGGCCUUUAAUGUCCCUCCUGUGCUGAGUCAUUCAGGUAAGAGAGACAGAGACUUUAGUCCUCCAUUAUCUGAUCGGACAGACUGCAGGACGGGAAGUCGCGACAGGAGUGGGUCUGAGCGAUCGAGGAGAACACGAUCACGCGACAGUGGAGAGCUCCGCGAGUGAUUGAGUAACCUGUGAUCUUUACCUUGGUCAUCACAGCAUGGGUGGUGCUCAUCACACCCGCUGCUGUCUCUGGGUGAGGUACCAGCUCCACCAGUUUAACAUAGUAGGGUGGGUUUACCUGAGAAGCACAGGACACACAUCAUCAUCGUUAAGUGGAAACUCAGUCAUUUUUUCAAGUUUGGCACCCUCACCAGCACCUACUGGUACCAGGACUGCCGUGGCACUGACCGGAUGGGAGAUGAGGCAGCGACUCUUGUUGUGGACUUUGGAGAAGACGCUGCUGGGCAUGAGGUAGGAGGUGGAGCUGCUCAGGAUGACGUCGUCUCCCACAAGUCGUUCUACGUCCUGGAAGACGCCCUGCUUUACGUCAAGCUGCUCAAACACACACUCCUGGUCUGUCCUGAAAGGAGUGGCUGUCACAGGCUGCAGUGCAGAGAGAACGUGCUCUUUAAAAACCAGUCAUCAUCGCUGGAACUGCUUUAACUGGCUGAGCAGGCGGCAGGCAGUGAUGUGAAGAAUGCACGUCGCACAGUCACAUCACACUCCACUGACUUCACAGUGAGACCGCACAAAUGGUUCUUACAAUACCAGAGGUCUCAAACUCGUGGCCCACAGGCCACAUGUGGCCCCUCAAUCAAGUUAAUAGGUUCAUUUUGUAACAAUUUAUUUUUAUCGUAAACUAUACAUUGUUCAGUAUCAAAACACUUUUAUUUUGAAAUGAAGUGAAAUACUGUCAU